GUAAUUGUAUUGCGUUAAACGCGACAUACAUUCCAUGAGACUGUAUUACGGUGUGUGUGUAAAGACGUAGGACCGCAGCAAGAGGACGGGAGUCCCCAAGGCCACAGAACUACAGAGGGUGCACAGGUGUGAGUGGAUGUGUAAACAGAGCGUGCACAUGCCCCCUUUCGAGGACCAGCAACAACUCGUGUCGACAGUUCAGUAAUGAUCCUUCCGCAGGUUCACCUACGGAAA
Molecule: unclassified non-coding RNA, 234 nt
Filed under: uncultured fungus
Lineage: Eukaryota; Fungi
Description: sequence contains ITS1
Source: RNAcentral